RNAcentral lists this ribosomal RNA (277 nucleotides) under uncultured Burkholderiales bacterium. RNAcentral's name for it is "partial 16S ribosomal RNA". It matches the Rfam family "Bacterial small subunit ribosomal RNA", at positions 505 to 781 of the family's 1533-position model. Lineage: Bacteria; Pseudomonadati; Pseudomonadota; Betaproteobacteria; Burkholderiales. The record is from RNAcentral.
GUGCCAGCCGCCGCGGUAAUACGUAGGGUGCGAGCGUUAAUCGGAAUUACUGGGCGUAAAGCGUGCGCAGGCGGCUUUGCAAGACAGAGGUGAAAUCCCCGGGCUCAACCUGGGAACUGCCUUUGUGACUGCAAGGCUAGAGUACGGCAGAGGGGGAUGGAAUUCCGCGUGUAGCAGUGAAAUGCGUAGAUAUGCGGAGGAACACCGAUGGCGAAGGCAAUCCCCUGGGCCUGUACUGACGCUCAUGCACGAAAGCGUGGGGAGCAAACAGGAUUAG